UUUUUUUAAACCGCGGGCGAGAGCGGCAACAGCUCAGAUUUGAAAUCUGUCCCCUCUGGGGUCCGAGUUGUAAUCUGUAGAGGAUGCUUUUGGCGACGCGCCUUCCGAGUCCCCUGGAACGGGGCGCCAGAGAGGGUGAGAGCCCCGUAUGGUUGGACGCCGAACCUCUGUAAAGCUCCUUCGACGAGUCGAGUAGUUUGGGAAUGCUGCUCAAAAUGGGAGGUAAAUGUCUUCUAAAGCUAAAUACCGGCCAGAGACCGAUAGCGCACAAGUAGAGUGAUCGAAAGAUGAAAAGCACUUUGAAAAGAGGGUUAAAUAGCACGUGAAAUUGCUGAAAGGGAAGCGCUUGUGACCAGACUUGUGCCCGGUUGAUCAUCCAGCGUUCUCGCUGGUGCACUCUGCCGGGCUCAGGCCAGCAUCGGUUCUCCCAGGGGGAUAAAGGUCGCGGGAACGUAGCUCUCUCCGGGGAGUGUUAUAGCCCGCGGCGGAAUGCCCUUAGGGGGGACCGAGGCCCGCGUUCGCAAGGAUGCUGGCGUAAUGGUCACCAGCGACCCGUCUUGAACCGCCCCAAGGGGGAAAAAAAGAG
This 586-nucleotide ribosomal RNA is filed under the name Distoseptispora menghaiensis. Its description in RNAcentral is "Distoseptispora sp. YH-2023e partial large subunit ribosomal RNA". It matches the Rfam family "Eukaryotic large subunit ribosomal RNA", at positions 75 to 664 of the family's 3401-position model. Lineage: Eukaryota; Fungi; Ascomycota; Sordariomycetes; Distoseptisporaceae. The record is from RNAcentral.